This is a small nucleolar RNA of Tachyglossus aculeatus (Australian echidna), 138 nucleotides long. The record is from RefSeq and is a predicted model, not a curated record. NCBI's taxonomy places the organism in Eukaryota, Metazoa, Chordata, Mammalia, Monotremata, Tachyglossidae.
CCCCUCUCAGGGUCGUACCUGGAGAGUUUCCAGCACUCUACCAGUCCCGACUCUGGGAGGAAGAGUCAAGCAGAGGAAUAUCCAUUCCAUUCCUAGUUUGGACCGUGGCUAGAGAGUGGAAGGCAAUCUGCUACAGGU